RNAcentral lists this transfer RNA (72 nucleotides) under Helianthus annuus (common sunflower). Its description in RNAcentral is "tRNA-Sec". The record is from RNAcentral. Lineage: Eukaryota; Viridiplantae; Streptophyta; Magnoliopsida; Asterales; Asteraceae.
GAUUUUUUGGUGCAUUGGCAGCCCAAUGAUCUUCAAAAGCGAAGGUCAUGGGUUCGAGUCUCACUUGGAGCA